CCUAGGGCUGCUCUCAUAAACUGUAGAGUAUCAUAGUUAAGGAUAAAUCGAAGUAGCUGGCAAUUAUUUCACUACAGUAUUAUUCUUUAUCAUUUAUCAAAAUGAUUUUACGUGCGUGCUGACUGCUGAUGUCUUGUCUGCAUGGUCGUACCUUUCAUCUAUCGUAACGGCCCAACGCGUAUUCCACGUGCUCUAAUUUGAUCGAUACUCGUAGUUUAUAUUAUACUCAGCAACAAUUUGAAUGCAUAUUCUCAGCCAUUCAUAAAUUCAAGGUGUUUGAUUAAAAGAGCCCAAGAAUAGUUUGAAAUCGGAAUAUUUUUGGAUCUCGUUAUCAUCUCCUUACAGCCUAAGUUGGUACUGGAUCACGCCUAGUGGUCGCAAUACAACUUCGUGCUUAGGAACCGGAAGGGUAGCAGAAUAUACUGAAAGCACUAGAGGGGAAGCUUAUGGAUUUAAACAAGUUGGAUGGAGAGAAAAGCGCCUCCGCAUGCAGUGUAUCGCCGCUAAACAGAUGCCGGCUUGCAUUGGUCCAAGACAUGUAUAAUGUUGCUAAACGGUUGUCGGAGAUAACAUCGGAGCACAUUUUAAAGGAUUUUACACAGAUUUGUUUUAAACCGACUAUGGAGCCUGUCAUUUUUACUGAAAGCGAAGGUAAGCUGUUCAUCCGACAAACAUUCAUUCUAAGCUGGAAUACCUCAGCAUCUUUGAGCUACCGAUCGCAUCAAGUUUACGGCAGCAGCGGAUCGGAUAAGAAGUUACUAUUCACAACUUCACAAAAAUGUUUGUUUGGUUCUGAAAGCUCUGUACGGUUGUGAACAAGUCGGAUGAAUGUAUCAUUUAUCUCAGGUAAUAUUUCUGACAUAAUAACGACCACAGAGUUCCAUGUGCAGAUGGUGCCGGCAUUCACCAAACAGAUAUUGAGUGGACUGUGUAUGAUACACGAGCACGGUAUCGUACACAGGCAUAUCCGGUGUUCCAAUAUCCUGGUGCAACAGCGUCGAACAGGAGGAGCUAAAAGAAUCACACCGAAAAUCACCCACUUUAAAAAAUCGUCAAUUGAUUGGAUACCAAAGUUUGAACACCAUAAUAUAGAAUUUGCUGUCACCGUUCUUGUUUAGAGUGGGUCAUGUUUGGUUAACUCAGAUCGAGUUUGGGCAACCGAAACUGGAUUUGCUAAACAAUGCCCACAGACGUGUUUAAUUCUCCAAGUGCUCUUCCCAAACGAACAAGACUGAACUAACUUUAUUUUCUCUUGUCGCUGCUAAAUGUUUUGGUAUGUGGAUCGGCGACAAGGCAAUUAAUGCCGUGCUGUCAUCCGUUGGAAGGAUUCGGAAUCUGCUAUCAUCCUGUGGGAUUUAUGAAUGUACCUUUGAUGAUGCACUUUCAGGAUUGUUAACUUACCUGCUCCGGCAGAUUUUCGCGUGCCGCUUGUUGACUUCUUUGCACUGGAUGUGUGUGCUUACUGUUUUACUUUUUCAGUAAAAAAUUUUUGCGUUUUUUUAGCUGAUUUCCAUUUUUUAAUCUUACAUUGUAACCAUUAUGAAUGGACAUGUCGU
Long non-coding RNA from Paramacrobiotus metropolitanus, 1556 nucleotides. RefSeq lists it as uncharacterized. The transcript has 3 exons. The record is from RefSeq and is a predicted model, not a curated record. Lineage: Eukaryota; Metazoa; Tardigrada; Eutardigrada; Parachela; Macrobiotidae.